GACGAACGCUGGCGGCGUGCUUAACACAUGCAAGUCGAACGGAAAGGCCCUGCUUUUGUGGGGUGCUCGAGUGGCGAACGGGUGAGUAACACGUGAGUAACCUGCCCUUGACUUUGGGAUAACUUCAGGAAACUGGGGCUAAUAUCGGAUAGGAUCUCCUGCUGCAUGGUGGUGGUUGGAAAGUUUCGGCGGUGGGGGAUGGACUGGCGGCUUAUCAGCUUGUUGGUGGGGUAGUUGCUUACCAAGCCUUUGACGGGUAGCCGGCCUGAGAGCGGGGCCGGGCACAAUGGGACUGCGAUACGGCGCAGAAUCCUACGGGAGGCAGCAGUGGGGAACAUUGCGCAGCGGCCGGAAGCCUGAUGCAGCAACGCCGCGUGCGGGAUGACGGCCUUCGGGGUGUAAACCGCUUUCGACUGUGACGAAGCGUGAGUGACGGUAAUGGGUAAAAAAGCACCGGCUAACUACGUG
This 468-nucleotide ribosomal RNA is filed under the name uncultured bacterium. RNAcentral's name for it is "partial 16S ribosomal RNA". It matches the Rfam family "Bacterial small subunit ribosomal RNA", at positions 28 to 507 of the family's 1533-position model. The record is from RNAcentral.